AAGUCGUAACAAGGUUUCCGUAAGUGAACCUACGGAAGGAUCAUUACAAGGUUCUUAGUGACAUCUCGAAAGAGAUCCCUCCCAAGUAUCCUAUCUGUCGUGUCUAUAUCAUUUACUUUUGAUCGUUCUUGGGCCGGGAGCGUGGCCUCCACUACGGGCUCUACUCGUACGUACCCGCUAGAGGACUAAACUUUGAAUGUUAGUAAUGUCUGAGUACUAUAUAAUAAUUAAAA
This 233-nucleotide unclassified non-coding RNA is filed under the name plant metagenome. RNAcentral's name for it is "partial contains small subunit ribosomal RNA and internal transcribed spacer 1". The stretch from base 1 to 46 matches the Rfam family "Eukaryotic small subunit ribosomal RNA", at positions 1786 to 1831 of the family's 1831-position model. The record is from RNAcentral.